Molecule: non-coding RNA, 30 nt
Filed under: Mus musculus (house mouse)
Lineage: Eukaryota; Metazoa; Chordata; Mammalia; Rodentia; Muridae
Source: RNAcentral
UGGCGAUACUCUUUGCAAGUUGCUUCCUAC